RNAcentral lists this ribosomal RNA (465 nucleotides) under uncultured bacterium. Its description in RNAcentral is "partial 16S ribosomal RNA". It matches the Rfam family "Bacterial small subunit ribosomal RNA", at positions 28 to 507 of the family's 1533-position model. The record is from RNAcentral.
GACGAACGCUGGCGGCGUGCUUAACACAUGCAAGUCGAACGGAAAGGCCCUGCUUGCAGGGUACUCGAGUGGCGAACGGGUGAGUAACACGUGGGUGAUCUGCCCUGCACUUCGGGAUAAGCCUGGGAAACUGGGUCUAAUACCGGAUAGGAGCCAUUUUUAGUGUGAUGGUUGGAAAGUUUUUUCGGUGUAGGAUGAGCUCGCGGCCUAUCAGCUUGUUGGUGGGGUAAUGGCCUACCAAGGCGGCGACGGGUAGCCGGCCUGAGAGGGUGGACGGCCACAUUGGGACUGAGAUACGGCCCAGACGCCUACGGGAGGCAGCAGUGGGGAAUAUUGCACAAUGGGCGCAAGCCGGAUGCAGCGACGCCGCGUGGGGGAUGACGGCCUUCGGGUUGUAAACUCCGUUCGCUAGGGACGAAGCUUUUUGUGACGGUACCUAGAUAAGAAGCACCGGCUAACUACGUG